CCUACGGGUGGCUGCAGUUUCGAAUCAUUCACAAUGGGCGAAAGCCUGAUGGUGCGACGCCGCGUGAGGGAUGAAGGCCUUCGGGUUGUAAACCUCUGUCACUGGGGAAGAAACGCUUCAAGUUAAUAGCUUGAAGCCUGACUUAACCCAGAGAGGAAGCAGUGGCUAACUCUGUGCCAGCAGCCGCGGUAAUACAGAGACUGCAAGCGUUAUUCGGAUUCACUGGGCGUGAAGGGUGCGCAGGCGGCCGGGGCUUAACCUCGGAAUUGCGUCUAAAACUACACGGCUAGAGCAUUGGAGAGGGUAGCGGAAUUCACGGUGUAGCAGUGAAAUGCGUAGAUAUCGUGAGGAACACCAGAGGCGAAGGCGGCUACCUGGACAAUUGCUGACGCUCAGGCACGAAAGCGUGGGGAGCAAAAGGGAUUAGAUACCCCUGUAGUC
This 441-nucleotide ribosomal RNA is filed under the name uncultured bacterium. RNAcentral's name for it is "partial 16S ribosomal RNA". It matches the Rfam family "Bacterial small subunit ribosomal RNA", at positions 338 to 795 of the family's 1533-position model. The record is from RNAcentral.